CGCGUAGGCGGAUUGUACAGUCAGAUGUGAAAUUCCUGGGCUUAACCUGGGGGCUGCAUUUGAUACGUGCGAUCUGGAGUUCGGAAGAGGGUCGUGGAAUUCCCAGUGUAGAGGUGAAAUUCGUAGAUAUUGGGAAGAACACCGGUGGCGAAGGCGGCGACCUGGUCCUGGACUGACGCUGAGGCGCGAAAGCGUGGGGAGCAAACAGGAUUAGAUACCCUGGUAGUCCACGCUGUAAACGAUGUGUGCUGGAUGUUGGGUGACCUAGUCACUCAGUGUCGUAGCUAACGCGAUAAGCACACCGCCUGGGGAGUACGGCCGCAAGGUUGAA
This 331-nucleotide ribosomal RNA is filed under the name uncultured bacterium. RNAcentral describes it as "bacterial SSU rRNA". It matches the Rfam family "Bacterial small subunit ribosomal RNA", at positions 568 to 898 of the family's 1533-position model. The record is from RNAcentral.